This 457-nucleotide ribosomal RNA is filed under the name uncultured bacterium. RNAcentral describes it as "bacterial SSU rRNA". It matches the Rfam family "Bacterial small subunit ribosomal RNA", at positions 49 to 553 of the family's 1533-position model. The record is from RNAcentral.
CCACACAUGCAAGUCGAGCGAGACCUUCGGGUCUAGCGGCGGACGGGUUAGUAACGCGUGGGAACGUGCCCUUCACUACGGAAUAGUCCCGGGAAACUGGGUUUAAUACCGUAUACGCCCUUCGGGGGAAAGAAUUUCGGUGAAGGAUCGGCCCGCGUUAGAUUAGAUAGUUGGUGGGGUAACGGCCUACCAAGUCGACGAUCUAUAGCUGGUUUGAGAGGAUGAUCAGCAACACUGGGACUGAGACACGGCCCAGACUCCUACGGGAGGCAGCAGUGGGGAAUCUUGGACAAUGGGCGCAAGCCUGAUCCAGCCAUGCCGCGUGAGUGAUGAAGGCCUUAGGGUCGUAAAGCUCUUUCGCCAGGGAUGAUAAUGACAGUACCUGGUAAAGAAACCCCGGCUAACUCCGUGCCAGCAGCCGCGGUAAUACGGAGGGGGUUAGCGUUGUUCGGAAUUA